GUCGUUGGUCUGUGUUGUUUGACCAGUGAUAGUAGUAGUUGAUAAUGUCGAUAGUGUACCAAUAAGGAUUAUGUUAAUUACGAUAAAAAUAUUGCUAACAAAAUAUUAGUUAAGACUAACUGCUAAUAAAUACCUCGUAUUUAUUUAAUUGUUACCUUUGUAACAUAAAAUAAAUGAGGUUUUAAUUCUCAACUAAUAUUCCUAAUACUAUUUAGAAUGAGCAUAAUUGUGUUUAUUAAUUGAUAUAGAUGUAUCAUAUCGAUUUGAUGCUUGUCCUUUUUUGUCUGUAUUCUGCACUUUAUAUGUAACAUGAAUGGUGUUAUUAUUCGUGGGAGAAGACAAAUAAAUUGUAAGGGAGAUCUGCCAUCUAAUACAGAAAUCAAGAUAUCGGCUGCAAAAUUAAACAUGUACUAGUGUGAUGAAAUGGAACAUUUAGGUAACAUUAAUAAAAAAAAGCUCAAAAGUAAUUCGAAUGUAACGAUGUGGGGAAGUAAAUCAGAAGUUCACGUGAGUCAGAUUAUUAAUAAUAUCUUAUCUAACCAGAUCAAACAUUCCCUUGUUAUUUUCUUGAUUUGUUGAGUUUGUCCGUAUUUGGUAUGGAUCUAAAUCAAUGCAUAGAUCUAGAUACGGAAAUGGCAGCUGAUGUUAUACUCACAUCCAUUUACGAGUAUACUACACCGCGCGCAUUGAUCUUAAACUUUCUCUAUAGUCAACUUACCACCAAAGUAGUGAUUAGUGAGAGGAACAUCUAGGGGUUAUUUGAUUACCUAGUCACAUAUAUGUGACCACAAUGGACGGACAUAUAAAUAAAUAUAUAUAUAUAAAAGAAGAUACCCACAAUGUUUCUAAUUUAAGCCUUACUUAGUGUCAUAAGGAAUCAUAGAAAUGUAACAUAAGAUAAUACAAUUGAUCAUGAUGAAUCAUAGAAAUGCAACCAUCAAACUAAGAAUCAUAUAAUGUCUGCACAUGCGUAUAAUGUCAUCAAUCAUAAAAAUGUAACCAUUAAUCUAAGAAAUUUACACGUUUCUGAAAUGUGAUUAUUCAGAAUUUGGCAGAUGUUGAUAUCAUUAUAAUUUUUUCAUCAGAGUAUGAUGUUCUUUGUAUACCUAAAUAAUCAUUUUAUAGUCACCCAAAAUAACUUGACAGAAGCCAAUGUUUCUUGUUUCUUGAUUAACUUCUUUCUAAACUCAGUAUUCUAAAUAAGAUGUAUUCCUCUGUCUAAAUAAUUUUCUUCAAUGUGCAUAAUUAAAGAGACCAGGAAACUAAAUUUCAACUUGCUCGUAUAGUACGACUUUUAAAUACUUGAGUUUUCAAACCCCAGCAAUACGUCAAGAUUCUAAAUAUUGAUGUGUAAUCAAAGGUUUUAAAAGCCUUGAAGUCAAAAAUUUGAACAAAGCCACGUGACUCCCCAAGAAAAAACCCCACAAAAUAUGGAAACCCAAGGUCAUGUAUGUGGACCUUGAGGGAGAGCAAAAGAGCGAUAAAAAAAAGAAGUGUGAGGUCAUGUAGCUACUUAAAUCCAGAUGCUUUCACUGAUGAGCAGAUCCAAGAGUUUUACGAAGCCUUCUGUGUUCUGUCUCAUCGACAAACACUCCGAUGUCUGUUUGAUUUUGUUUUCUUUUAUCUCAUUCCAUACACAGUUUCUACAUCAUAAUUGAUCAUAGACGAUGAUGAUGGAUUAGUUGAUUUAUGUAUGUUGGGUUCAUCACUAAAGAAAAGAUAACAAAAGUGAUGAAAUCGAUGGGAAAGAAUCCAAAGGCGAAACAACUUCAAGAGAUGAUGAGCGAUGUCGAUAUCUUUGGCGACGAUGGUAUCAUCACUUUUGAUGAUUUCUUGUAUAUAAUGGUUCAAAACACUUCUCAGGAAUCGGCAUCGGGUGAGUUGCUAGAAGUAUUCAGAGUGUUCGACAGAGACGGAGACUGUAACAACCCGCCCCGUGGGACCCAGGCUGACAGCGCUGCAGCGCACCGACCCCAACCCCUCCAUUAUGGGAACUACCUGCCCCAUAAUUAGGUUGUUGGUAAGAUUCGAACCCCCGACCUCACCCUUUAACAGCCUUCCCACAAGACAAGCUGUCACCAAUUGAUCUGCAGUUCAAUUGGUGACAGCUUGUCUUGUGGGAAGGCUGUUAAAGGGUGAGGUCGGGGGUUCGAAUCUUACCAACAACCUAAUUAUGGGGCAGGUAGUUCCCAUAAUGGAGGGGUUGGGGUCGGUGCGCUGCAGCGCUGUCAGCCUGGGUCCCACGGGGCGGGUUGUUACAGAGACAGUCUGAUAUAUGCACUUGAGUUGGGAGAAGGUAUGAAGGACAUGGGGAUGAAGAUAACGGCGGAAGAGGCAGAGCGUAUGGUGCGAGAAGCUGAUCUCGACGGUGAUGGUUUUCUCUCUUUCAUGAGUUUUCCAAAAUGAUGAUUGCUGCCUCUUAUUAGCAUUUUAUAGCUAUGAUAUAAGGGUUUGCACUUAUAUAACUUCUCAAUGUGUAAAAAAUUGAUUGAUUGGUAGUGGCCGUAGGUGCUGUCCACAACCCUAUUUAUUUUUACAGCAUUAAAUUCAUAGCAAUUACGCUUUAAUAAAAAAUUUAAAAUCACA
Brassica napus (rape) is the source of this 2586-nucleotide long non-coding RNA. RefSeq lists it as uncharacterized. NCBI's taxonomy places the organism in Eukaryota, Viridiplantae, Streptophyta, Magnoliopsida, Brassicales, Brassicaceae. The record is from RefSeq and is a predicted model, not a curated record. The transcript is spliced from 4 exons.